Molecule: ribosomal RNA, 749 nt
Filed under: uncultured bacterium
Lineage: Bacteria
Description: bacterial SSU rRNA
Rfam family: Bacterial small subunit ribosomal RNA
Source: RNAcentral
GAGCAAACAGGAUUAGAUANNNNNNUAGUCCACGNNNUNAACGAUGCUCACUAGGUGUUGGGGAAGCGAUUCCUUGGUACCGUAGCUAACGCGUGAAGUGAGCCGCCUGGGGAGUACGGCCGCAAGGUUAAAACUCAAAGGAAUUGACGGGGACCCGCACAAGCGGUGGAUGAUGUGGAUUAAUUCGAUGCAACGCGAACAACCUUACCUACCCUUGACAUGUCCGGAAGUCUGCUGAAAGGUGGAUGUGCUCGAAAGAGAACCGGAACACAGGUGCUGCAUGGCUGUCGUCAGCUCGUGUCGUGAGAUGUUGGGUUAAGUCCCGCAACGAGCGCAACCCUUGUCCCUAGUUGCUACGCAAGGGCACUCUAGGGAGACUGCCGGUGACAAACCGGAGGAAGGUGGGGAUGACGUCAAGUCCUCAUGGCCCUUAUGGGUAGGGCUUCACACGUCAUACAAUGGUCGGUACAGAGGGUCGCCAACCCGCGAGGGGGAGCCAAUCCCACAAAGCCGAUCGUAGUCCGGAUUGCAGUCUGCAACUCGACUGCAUGAAGUCGGAAUCGCUAGUAAUCGUGGAUCAGCAUGUCACGGUGAAUACGUUCCCGGGUCUUGUACACACCGCCCGUCACACCAUGGGAGCGGGAUGUACCAGAAGUAGGUAGGCUAACCGCAAGGGGGCCGCUUACCACGGUGCGUUUCGUGACUGGGGUGAAGUCGUAACAAGGUAGCCGAAUCGANNUCCCGCGGCC